CAGGACGGUUUGCCGCUACCGGCUAUGGCCGUUAGAGGAAAGUCCGGGCAACAUAGGGCAUUCCGCUUCUUAACGGGAAGUGGCUCGCAAGGGUCAGAGCAUGUAGAAGAAAACAACCGCCCCUUUUCAUAAAGAGGCAAGGGUGAGAAGGUGGGGUAAGAGCCCACCGGGCGGAUGGUGACAUCCGUGCCGUACAUUCCGGAAGUUGAAAGUUCGCGUAUACCGGCGACACAAGAGAGGGCGGCCCGUCCGAGCCGGAGGGUAGAACGAUGGAGUCUUGCGGUGACGUAAGGCCGAGAUAAAUGGCAAACAUUCCGCCUCGUGCGGAAUACAGAACCCGGCUUAUAGUCCGGCUGCU
Molecule: RNase P RNA, 358 nt
Filed under: uncultured Paraprevotella sp.
Lineage: Bacteria; Pseudomonadati; Bacteroidota; Bacteroidia; Bacteroidales; Prevotellaceae
Description: Bacterial RNase P class A
Rfam family: Bacterial RNase P class A
About the family: Ribonuclease P (RNase P) is a ubiquitous endoribonuclease, found in archaea, bacteria and eukarya as well as chloroplasts and mitochondria.
Source: RNAcentral